GGUCGCGACCAUACAAUGUUGGAAACACCGGUUCUCGUCUGGUCACCGAAGUUAAGCAACCUUGGGCCUGGUUAGUAAUUGCAUGGGUGACCGGCUGAGAAUACCGGGUGUCGCGGCCG
This 119-nucleotide ribosomal RNA is filed under the name Opisthorchis viverrini. Lineage: Eukaryota; Metazoa; Platyhelminthes; Trematoda; Opisthorchiida; Opisthorchiidae. The record is from RNAcentral.